Molecule: ribosomal RNA, 446 nt
Filed under: uncultured organism
Description: partial 16S ribosomal RNA
Rfam family: Bacterial small subunit ribosomal RNA
Source: RNAcentral
CACUCCUGCGGGAGGCAGCAGUGGGGAAUAUUGGACAAUGGGCGCAAGCCUGAUCCAGCCAUGCCGCGUGAGUGAUGAAGGCCCUAGGGUUGUAAAGCUCUUUCACCGGUGAAGAUAAUGACGGUAACCGGAGAAGAAGCCCCGGCUAACUUCGUGCCAGCAGCCGCGGUAAUACGAAGGGGGCUAGCGUUGUUCGGAUUUACUGGGCGUAAAGCGCACGUAGGCGGACUAUUAAGUCAGGGGUGAAAUCCCGGGGCUCAACCCCGGAACUGCCUUUGAUACUGGUAGUCUUGAGUUCGAGAGAGGUGAGUGGAAUUCCGAGUGUAGAGGUGAAAUUCGUAGAUAUUCGGAGGAACACCAGUGGCGAAGGCGGCUCACUGGCUCGAUACUGACGCUGAGGUGCGAAAGCGUGGGGAGCAAACAGGAUUAGAUACCCCAGUAGUCCC